This 268-nucleotide ribosomal RNA is filed under the name uncultured Euglyphida. RNAcentral's name for it is "partial 18S ribosomal RNA". The stretch from base 60 to 268 matches the Rfam family "Eukaryotic small subunit ribosomal RNA", at positions 735 to 955 of the family's 1831-position model. The record is from RNAcentral. Lineage: Eukaryota; Cercozoa; Imbricatea; Euglyphida.
GACUUCUGGUUUAAUGCAGCGCGUUACCAUCCUUCCAGCAACGGCUACCCUUAACUGGGCGGCUGAACUGGAUCUUUUACUUUGAAAAAAUUAGAGUGUUUAAAGCAGGCGCUUGAAUACAUUAGAAUGAUAAUCUAGGACUUCGGUUCUAUUUUGUUGGUUUCUUUAACUGAAGUAAUGAUUGAUAGGGAUAGUUGGGGGUGCUAGUAUUGGCCGGUCAGAGGUGAAAUUCUUGGAUUCGGUCAAGACUAACUUAUGCGAAAGCAUU